AAUAAGUGCAGCCGUGGAUAUCCGUGCCCAACGUUUGGCCGUCCGUCUUAUUUAAAAAUUUUAUGAAAAAUUUAAAAAUAUUUAGUCACACAUAAAAUACUUUUCAUGUUUUAUCAUCUAAUAGCAAUAAAAAUACUAAUCAUAAAAAAAUUUCAAAUAAGAUGAACGGUCAAACGUUGAACGUGAAUAGUGUAAAACUACACUUAUU
RNAcentral lists this microRNA precursor (208 nucleotides) under Oryza rufipogon (brownbeard rice). RNAcentral's name for it is "MIR812 microRNA precursor family". It matches the Rfam family "MIR812 microRNA precursor family". Lineage: Eukaryota; Viridiplantae; Streptophyta; Magnoliopsida; Poales; Poaceae. The record is from Rfam by way of RNAcentral.